CCACUUGAAUCAUCAAAAUAGAUGUGAGAGUGUAUUUAUUCAUCAUUAAGUCAGGGUCUGCAGAACAGACCUCCACAGGUGGUGAUUGACAUCUCAGGUGGUGACCCAAUGUGAUAUCCAUCACAGCAGGCGCUUGAACACAGAAUGAACUGAUGUGAUCAUCUCUGUGAAGAAGGAGCAGUGGACUUCCCAAGAACUGGAAGGUAGAGAGGACUGUGCGGUCAUGUCAAGCAGUCAGUAAGUCAUUGGUACCUACUAGGGAUUGCUAAACUCAAGGAGGAAUUCUUUCAGGCUAGGGAUUCAUCAUGGAACAACAGUUAUCAGCUCAACGGAUAAAAGCACAGAACGUAAUUCAAACUGCUGCUUCCCAAGACCCAUGAUUCUCAGCAGAUAGCAUGCUGGAUGUAAAGCUCUGGGAACAAGUGGGGAGAGAUCAUGCACAAAGUCAUCCAGUGAAUAGGAAAAAAGGCCAAGGAAACAUUACAGCUAUAGAAACUAGUCUUAAGCAAGCAGCAUUACAGAAGAAACUCUUAGCCUGCCCGGUAACUGAUGAUCAGCAAGGCAAUCAGGUGUAUGUUUUGUUUAUAAAAGAAAAAGAAGACAUUACAGUCUGGAGUGGUGUGGCCAAGUAAAAUAAAAAUAAAUAAAUAAAUAAAUAAAAAGACUCUGGCGGAGAAGCUUCACCCAAGCCAGCAACCUCGUAGGCCAGUGGGGAGGUGGUGUGGAGCCAGCAGCAAGCAGCACUUGAGUGGGGCCAGCAUGGUUGUAGUCCUGGACUCAUGCUGCUGCUGCUACAGCUGCUCUCCACAGUGAAAUUUCAUGUGUUCCUUUUAUACAAGCAACAUCUCAAAUAGUAAUUCUCUGCUAAGAUUUAAGUAAAUUUAAGAAUUUGUAAAACCCUUUUCUAACAUUAGUCACUGUUGUUAUUCCAAACCUACCCUUAACAUUGCUCUUUAAAAAUCCAGUUUAAGUAAAACAGUAACCUCUGAAGGGAGAGAAAUUACAGCUAGCCCAUGAAUUAGUAAGGAGCCAUAAAGAGCCAGCCAUGUAGCUUUGUUCUUUAGUAGAAAAGAAUUUCCUAAUUGACUGCUAAGUUGCAAAACCACGUUUCUAUUUUAAAAGGCAACACUACCAGCACAAGCCUUAUUUACUAGUAAUUCUGUAAAUGUAGAUGACAAAUUUAAUCGGCUAUAAAAGAAGGCCCACAAAUUAAAGAGCAAUUAAAAACUAAGGGUGUAAAACCACACAUUAUCCUUUAAAGGAAAACUUUAAGCCAAAUUAAAUAAUAUUUGUUAAAUUAAGAAGUAAAAAUUUUGUGCCCAUUCUCAGAAGGUAAAAGACGUUGUAUGUUAAGUAUGAAAGACGUAUGCAUGAAAGACUGAUUAGAGAUAGUCUUUGCUCUACUAUUAAGUCACUGUUUUCAGAAUUGUUUUCCAGUUUAAGUUCAUAAACUUAGUCAGACUGAAAACUCAAUUGCAAGAUUUAUGCUAUUCUGCCUGUGGCUGUCAGCUCAUGGUUAAAUUAUAUUCUUUAAGUCUCUGCUUCUAGAGAUAUUUUCAGAUUUCUUCUUAAGACUUCAUGUUACCUAUCUCAGCUUGCUAUCAUAAUGAUUAAUGCAGUCAGUUGCUAAGUUAUGAUCCUGAUAUCAUCAAGAUUCCAUCAAGAGCAAUUCCAAGAAGUAUUGCACUUCUGCAUACCUAAUGCUUUAACACUGUUUACUGAUGGAUUAGGUAAACAAGAAAAAGCUGCAGUUUGGCAGAGAACCCAUAAUUCAAUCACCUGAUCUAUGUUUACUAGCAGUGAGAGAGCUGAGAUUAAAGCUAUGAUACUAGCAUUAAAAACUUUUUCAGCUUGGCUGAUAAAUAUAGUAAGUGACUCAGCUUACUCAGUUUAUCUACUACAAAAUCCUGAAACAACUUUUUAAGUCUAAUCUUGAGCACACAGCACACUGCCUGGCCUAUUGGCUUAUGGCAAUGAGCAAGCAGACUUACAAGUGAUAACAUCACUGCUUGACCAAGACAGACAGAAACAGAAAGAUUAGAGAGAGGAGUAGAAAGAAAAAUAUUAUAGAAGGGAAUUUAUGCAAGUAGAUUCCAUAAAUUUUGUUUUGAAAGUCUAAGCAAGUUUUAAAACAUUAAUGUAAAAGAAAUUCUGUGUGUAAAGAUAUUAGUUAAAAAGUUAAGGAAGUAUCAUCUAGUUUUUCUGUUAACUGGACAUUAAAAUAAAGCACAACAGAUUUUUCUUAAAGCUCUAACCUGUUCUUUUACAAAGAUUGUAAAAAGUUUCUUAGCAUAGGAACAACCACUAGAAUUUCCAGCACACCAGCACCAGCUAAGAGACUGCAUUCUCAUCAAAUGAUGGAAAGAAGAAAAACCUCAAGCCAGCAGAAGAAAGAUCUACAGGAUGACACAAGCCCUGGACCUCACCUGGAGAAUGCUGAAGAGGACAACGCAGAAGACUAAGGAAAUCAUGCUUAGGAUUCAACACAUCUCAACUGGACAAUUCCUUUACCACAAUAUUAUUUAUACCACCUUUGAUUCCAAGAGGCUCUUGAGUUGGAUGCCUGCUGGAUAAUCAACAAUAUGGCUCUGUGUGGCCAAUGGAUAGUCUAUGACUGACAGUGGCUUUUCCAGUAACUCUGAAAAUGACAUGAGGCUCAUUCUGAACAUGAGAAAUAUUCUCCUAGUUUAUUUUUCUUCACCCAUUGUCUGAACUUCAAGAAUGAAAAGGUAUGUGAUUGACUGUCUUUUCCAACUCUAAAUGUUAAUAGUUGUUUUGGGGUUAUGAAAAUAAAUGAGAUCAAAUUUGUGAGCCUUUCCUUAAUACCUUUCCAAUUUGAAUUCUUUGUGGAGUUACCUACUUAGAUGCUGUGAUAUAUAUUUUUGAUUAGAGUGAUUUUGAACUUGUAAAAACUAACCACAAUAAAGUUUCUGGAAUGCUUUUAAAUGAUUUGGUUUUUUUUUUUUAGAGAAUCAAUACAGUAGGUCAUAUCUCAUUGGGCAGUAUUUGCCUUUUCAUGGAACCUGGAGCUUCAAAUUUAUCUUAAAGCUUCCCUUUAAAAUUCUAAUAAAACCAACCAAAUUAUUAAUUACAUAAUUUUUAAUGUUUAUGACAAAUAAUUUUGUAUCAAAUAUUGAUUCAAUAAUGUUAUAUUAUGUGUGCUUUAAAAAUCUCUAAGCCACAAUUGGGAUGCUUGCAUAAUCAAUGUGUUUAACAAUCCUAUUUUGAUUUUUAAAAAUGUUUAUUACAAAUUAUAGGAAUAGGAACAACUCUGGAGCACAGUUCUCAGUGAGAGCAAUUCAGAAUAUGAGUGAUCUUCGCAUUUCCAACUGAAGUACUAGGUUCAUCUCAAUGGGACUAGUUGGACAGUGGGUGUAGCCCAAGGAGGACAAACUGAGGCAGGGUGGGGUACUGUUUCACCCAGGAAGUGCAAUAGCCAGAAGACACCCCCCAACCCAAUGGAGACCAUCAGGGACUUUUCCAGUCACUCCAGUAUGCCAGUUCGGAUGCUCUGCUUCUCCUGUGGUCUUUGCAGCCCAUAGACCAGGAGAUUCCUGCUGGCUGACAGGCACCAUGGGUUUCCAGUGCAAAUUUGAGCAGCUCUUUUGGCUGGCUCCUGGAUCACCUGUGAGACAGAGUCACACAUACCCCUGAGAGAAAGGGGACUGAAGGCGAGGAGCCAGAUGAUCUGUCUCAGUGGGUCCCACUCCCAUGGAGACCAGCAAAUUGAAUCCCACUAGCUUGGGAUUUUUGUAGCCAGCACAGCAAUUUGAGCUUGACCUGAGAUGGUUGAGCUCGGUGGUGGGGGAAGGGUGUCUGCCGUUACCAAGGCAGUCUGCCACUAUGGAGGAAAUCCACCACUACUGAGACAGCCUGCCAUUACCGAGGCAGUCCACCAUUACUGAGGCAGUUCUAACCUUACUCGUAUAAACAAAAGCACAAGUAAGUUUACACAGCAGCUGGGUGGAGCCCGCCAGCUCAGCAAUGCCUCUGCAGGCCAACUGUGACUAGACUGAUUCCUUUCUGGGCAGAGCAUCAUUGACAAAAAGGCAGCAGGGCAUCAGAGAAUUAUAAAUAAAGCCCCACCUUCCUGGGACAGAGCACCUGGGAAAAGGGUUGGGUGGUUGUGAGUUACACUGCAGCAGAAUUAAAUGUCCCUGCCCAGCAGCUCUGAAGGGAGCAAUGGAGCUCCCAGCACAGCACUUGAGCUCUGAGGAGGGAUAUACUGCCUCCUCAAGUGGCUCCCUGACCCCUGUAUAUCCAAAGAGACACUUCAAACAGGAGAGCUCUGGCUGACAUCUGGCAGGUACCCUUCUGUGACAAAGGUACCAAAGGAAGGAACAGGGAGCGAUACUUGCUGCUCUGCAGCCCCCAUGGGUGAUUCCCACACAAGCCAGGUCUGGAGUGGACCUCCAUCUGUCCUGUAGCAAAGGGGUAUGACUGUUAGAAGGAAAAGUAAACAACAGAAAGAAAUAGCUUCAACAUCAACAGAAAGGAUGUCCACUUGGAGAAUCCAUCUGAAAGUCACCAACUUCAAAGACCAAAGAUAGAUAAAACUGAGAUGAUGGGAAGAAACCAGUGCAAAAAGGAUGAAAUCAUCAAAAAACCAGAAUGCCUCUCUUCCUCUAAGAGAUCAAAACUCCUCACCAGCAAGAGAACAAAACUGGUAGGAGAAUGAGUCUGACAAAUUGACAGAAGCAGGUUUCAGAAGGUGGGUAAUAACAAACUUCUCUGAGCUAAAGGUACAUGUUCUAACCCAAUGCAAAUAAACUAAGAGCCUUGAAAAAAGGUUACACUAAUUGCUAACUAUAAUGACCAGCUUAGAGAUGAACAUAAACCAACUUGAUGGAGCUGAAAAACACAGCACGAGAACUUUGUGAAGCCUACACAAGUUUCAAUAGCUGAAUCAAUCAAGCAGAAAAAGUAUAUCAGAGAUUGAAGAUCAACUCAAUAAAAUAAAAUUAGAAGGCAAAAUUAGAGAAAAAUAAUAAAAAGAAAUCAAAAAAGCCUACAAGAAAUAUGGGAUUAUGUGAAAAAACCUAAUCUACGUUUGAUCAGUGUACCUCAAGGUGACGAGAAUGAAUCCAAACUGGAAAACACUCUUCAGGAUAUUAUCCAGGAGAACUUCCCCAACAUAGCAAGACAGGCCAGCAUUCAAAUACAGGAAAUACAGAGAACACCACAAUGGUAUUCCUCAAGAUGAGCAACCCCAACGCACAUAAGUUUCAGAUAUACAAGGGUUGAAAUGAAGGAAAAAACGCUAAGGGCAGCCAGAGAGAAAGGUUAGGUUACCCACAAAGGGAAGCACGUCAGACUAACAGUGGAUAUCUCAGCAGAAACCCUAUAAGCCUGAAGAAAGUGUGGGCUAAUAUUCAACAUCUUAAAAAAAAGAACUUUCAAUCCAAAAUUUCAUAUCCAGCCGAACUAAGCUUCACAAGUGAAGGAGAAAUAAAAUUUUUUAUUUACAAGCAACUGCUGAGAGAUUUCAUCACCACCAGGCCUGCCUUAUGAGAGCUCCUGAAAGAAGCACUAAACAUGGAAAGGAACAACCAGUACCAGCCACUGCAAAAAUGUACAAAAUGGUAAAGACCAUUGACACAAUGAAGAAACUGCAUCAAUUAAUGGGCAAAACAACCAGCCAGCAUCAAAAUGGCAGGAUCAAAUUCACACAUAACAAUAUUAACCUUAAAUGUAAAUGGGCUAAAUUAUCCAAUCAAAAGACACAAAAUGGUAAACUGGAUAAAAAGUCAAGACCCAUCAAUGUGUGGUAUUCAGGAAACCCAUCUCAUGUGCAAAGACACACAUAGACUCAAAAUAAAGGGAUGGAGGAAGAUUUACCAAGGAAAUAGAAAGCAAAAAAAGAAGGGGUUUCAAUCCUAGUCUUUGAUAAAAUGGACUUUAAACCAACAAAGAUCAAAAGAGACAAAGAAGGGAAUUACAUAAUGUAAAUAGGAAAGGGAUCAAUGCAACAAGAAGAGCUAUCUUAACUAUAUACACACCCAAUACAGGAGCACCCACAUACAUAAAGCAAGUUCUUAAGGACCUACAAAGAGACUUAGACACCCACACAAUAAUAGUGGGAUACCUUAACACUCCACUUUCAAUAUUAGAAUGCUCAAUGAGACAGAAAUUAACAAGGAUAUCCAGGACUUGAACUCAGAUCUGGGCCAAGUGGACCUAAUAGACAUCUACUGGAACACAUUUAAAGCAGUGUCUAGAAGGAAAUAUGUAGCACUGAAUGCCCAAAUGAGAAGCAAGGAAAGGUCUAAAAUUGAUACCCUAACUUCACAAUUAAAAGAACUAGAGAAGCAAGAUCAAACAAAUUCAAAAGCUAGCAGAAGACAGAAAAUAACCAAGACGAGAGCAAAACUGAAGGAGAUAGAGACACAAAAAAACCCUUCAAAAAAUCAACAAAUCCAGCAAAACCAAAAACAAAGCUGAAAAGAUCAACAAAAUAUAUAGAAUGCUAGCCAGACUAAUAAAAAAGAAAACAGAAGAAUUGAAUAGAUACAAUUAAAAUGAUAAAGGGAUAUAACCACUGAUUCCACAGAAAUACAGACUACCAUAAGAGAUUAUUACUAACAACUCUAUGCACAUAAACCAGUAAUCUAGAAGAAAUGGAUAAAUUCCUGGACACUUACACCCUCCCAAGACUAAACCAGGAAGAAGUUGAAUCCCUGAAUAGGCCAAUAACAAAGUCUGAAGUUGAGGCAGCAAUUAAGAGCCAACCAACGAAAAAAAGUCCAGAUCCAGACAGGUUCACAGCUGAUUUCUACCAGAUAUACAAAGAGGAGCUGGUACCAUUCCUUCUAAAACUAUUCCAAAUAAUACAAAAAAGAGGGAAUCCUAACUCAUUUAUGAGAUCAACAUCAUCUUGAUACCAAAUCCUGGCAGAGACACAACUGAAAAAGAAAAUUUCAGGCCAAUAUCCAUGAUGAACAUUGAUGCAAAAAUCUUUAAUUAAAUACUGGCAAAUUUAAUGCAACAGCACAUCAAAAAGCUUAUCCAUCAUGAUCAAGUAUGCUUCAUCCUGGGGAUGCAAGUCUGGUUCAACAUAAACAAAUCUAUAAACAGAAUCCAUCACAUAAACAGAACCAAAAACAAAAACCACAUAAUUAUCUCAAUAGAUGCAGAGAAGGCCUUCAACAAAAUUCAACAGUGCUUUAUGCUAAAAACUCUCAAUAAUCUAGAUAUUGAUGGAAAGUAUCUCAAAAUAAUAAAAACUAUUUAUGACAAAACCACAGCAAAUAUAAUACUGAAUGGGCAAAAACUGGAAGCAUUCCCUUGAAAAUAGGCACUAUAUAAGGGUGCCCUCUCUCACCAUCCCUAUUCAACAUAUUAUUGGAAGUACUGGCCAGAGCAAUCAGGCAUGCAAAAGAAAUAAAGGUUUUCAAUUAGGAAAAUAGGAAGUCAAACUGUCUCUAUUUGAGGAUGACAUGAUUGUAUAUUUAGAAGACCCCAUCAUCUCAGCCCAAAUCCUUAAGAUGUAAACAACUUUAGCAGUCUCAGGAAACAAUAUCAAUGUGCAAAAAUCACAAGCAUUCCUAUACACCAAUAACAGACAAACAGAGAGCCAAAUCAUGAGCGAACUCCCAUUUGCAAUUGCGGCAGAGAGAAUAAAAUACCUAGGAAUACAACUAACAAAGGACGUGAAGGACUUCUCCAAGGAAUACUACAAAACCCUGCUCAAGGAAAUAAGAGAGGACACAAACAGAUGGAAAAAUAUUCCAUGCUCAUAGUUAGGAAGAAUCAAUAUCAUGAAAAUUGCCAUACUGCCCAAAGCAAUUUAUAGAUUCAAUGCUAUCCCCAUCAAGCUACCAAUGACCUUCACGGAACUGGAAAACACCACCUUAAACUUCAUAUGGAACCAAAAAAGGGCCUGCAUAGCCAAGAUAAUUCUAAGCAAAAAGACCCAAACUGGAGGCACCACACUACCUGACUUCAAACUAUACUACAAGGGUACAGUAAUCAAAACAGCAUGGUACUGGUACCAAAACAGAGUUAUAGACCCAUGGAACAGAACAGACUCCUCAGAAGUAAUGCCACACAUCUACAACCAUCUGAUUUUUGACAACCCUGACAAAAACAAGCAAUGAGGAAAGGAUUUCCUGUUUAAUAAGUGGUGUUGGGAAAACUGGCUAGCCAUGUGCAGAAAGCAGAAACAGGACCCCUUCCUUACACCUUAUAAAAAAUUAACUCCAGAUGGAUUAAAGAGUUAAACAUAAGACCGAACACCAUAAAUAUCCUAGAGGAAAACCUGAGCAAUACUAUUCAGGACAUAGGCAUAGGCAAGGACUUCAUGACUAAAACAUCAAAAACAAUGACAACAAAAGCCAAAAUAGACAAAUGGGAUCUAAUUAAACUUAGGAGCUUCUGCACAGCAAAAGAAACAACCAUUAGAGUAAAACGGCAACCAACAGAAUGGGAAAAAAUAUUUACAUCUGAAAAAGGGCUAAUAUCCAGAAACUACAUAGAACUAAAACACAUUUAUAAGAAAAAAACAAAUAAUCCCAUCAAAAAGUGGGCGAAGGAUAUGAACAGGCACUUUUCAAAAGAAAACAUUUAUGUCGCCAACAAACAUAUGAAAAAAUGUUCAUUAUCACUGGUCAUUAGAGAAAUGCAAAUCAAAACCACAUUGAGAUACCAUCUCAUGCCAGUUAGACUGGUGAUCAUUAAAAAAUCUGGAGACAACUGAUGCUGGAGAGGAUGUGGAGAAAUAGGAACACUUUUACACUGUUGGUAGGAGUGUAAAUUAAUGCAAUUGUUGUGGAAGAUAGUGUGGUGAUUCUUUAAGGAUCUAGAAAUAGAAAUUCCUUUGACCCAGCAAUCCCAUUACUGGGUAUAUAUCCAAAGGAUUAUAAAUCAUUCUGUUUUAAAGACACAUGCACAUGUAUGUUUAUUGCAGCACUAUUUACAAUAGCAAAGACUUGCAACCAACCCAAAUGCCCAUCAAUACUAGACUAAAUAAAGAAAAUGUGGCACAUAUACACCAUGGAAUACUAUAUAGCCACAAAAAAGGAUGAGUUCAUGUCCUUUGCAGGGACAUAGAUGAACCUGGAAACCAUAAUUCUCAGCAAACUGAUGCAAGAACAGAACACCAAACACCACAUGUUCUCACUCAUAAGUGGAUUUUGAACAAUGAGAAAAAUGGAUGCAGGAAGGGGAAUGUUACACACUGGGGUCUGCUGGGAAGUGGGGAGCUAGGAGAGGAACAACAGGGGUGGGGAGGUUGGAGAGGGAUAACAUUAGGAGAAAUACGUAAUAUAGGUGACCAGGGGAUGGAGGCAGCAAACCACCACAGUAUGUGUAUACCUAUGUAACAAUCCUGCAAGAUCUACACAUGUACCUCACAACUUAAAGUAUAAUAAUAAUUAUAAUUAAAUAAAACAUUCCUAAAAAAAUUAUAGUCUUGAGAUAUUCAUAUAAAUGGUAAAGUACA
This is a non-coding RNA of Callithrix jacchus (white-tufted-ear marmoset), 9439 nucleotides long. Lineage: Eukaryota; Metazoa; Chordata; Mammalia; Primates; Cebidae. The record is from RefSeq and is a predicted model, not a curated record.